This 458-nucleotide ribosomal RNA is filed under the name uncultured bacterium. RNAcentral describes it as "partial 16S ribosomal RNA". It matches the Rfam family "Bacterial small subunit ribosomal RNA", at positions 338 to 795 of the family's 1533-position model. The record is from RNAcentral.
CCUACGGGAGGCUGCAGUGAGGAAUAUUGGUCAAUGGGCGAGAGCCUGAACCAGCCAAGUCGCGUGAGGGCGUACUGCCCUAUGGGUUGUACACUUCUUUUGUCGGGGAGCAAAAGCCGGACGUGUCCGGCUGUGAGAGUACUCGAAGAAAAAGCAUGGCCGAACUCCGUGCUACCAGCCGCGGUAAUACGGGGGAUGCGAGCGUCAUCCGGAUUUUUUGGGUUGAAAGGGUGCGGAGGCGGAUUUUUAUGUCGGCGGUCAAAUCGUGGGGCUAAACCCCAUCCAGCAGUUGAAACUGGGGACCUAGAGUGUGCGGAGGGUAUGCGGAAUGCGUGGUGUAGCGGUGAAAUGCAUAGAUAUCACGCAGAACCCCGAUCGCGAAGGCAGCAUACCGGUGCACAACUGACGCUCAGGCACGAAAGCGUGGGUAUCGAACAGGAUUAGAUACCCCGGUAGUC